This 1475-nucleotide ribosomal RNA is filed under the name Vibrio alginolyticus. RNAcentral's name for it is "bacterial SSU rRNA". It matches the Rfam family "Bacterial small subunit ribosomal RNA". Lineage: Bacteria; Pseudomonadati; Pseudomonadota; Gammaproteobacteria; Vibrionales; Vibrionaceae. The record is from RNAcentral.
AUUGAACGCUGGCGGCAGGCCUAACACAUGCAAGUCGAGCGGAAACGAGUUAUCUGAACCUYCGGGGAACGAUAACGGCGUCGAGCGGCGGACGGGUGAGUAAUGCCUAGGAAAUUGCCCUGAUGUGGGGGAUAACCAUUGGAAACGAUGGCUAAUACCGCAUGAUGCCUACGGGCCAAAGAGGGGGACCUUCGGGCCUCUCGCGUCAGGAUAUGCCUAGGUGGGAUUAGCUAGUUGGUGAGGUAAGGGCUCACCAAGGCGACGAUCCCUAGCUGGUCUGAGAGGAUGAUCAGCCACACUGGAACUGAGACACGGUCCAGACUCCUACGGGAGGCAGCAGUGGGGAAUAUUGCACAAUGGGCGCAAGCCUGAUGCAGCCAUGCCGCGUGUGUGAAGAAGGCCUUCGGGUUGUAAAGCACUUUCAGUCGUGAGGAAGGUGGUGUAGUUAAUAGCUGCAUUAUUUGACGUUAGCGACAGAAGAAGCACCGGCUAACUCCGUGCCAGCAGCCGCGGUAAUACGGAGGGUGCGAGCGUUAAUCGGAAUUACUGGGCGUAAAGCGCAUGCAGGUGGUUUGUUAAGUCAGAUGUGAAAGCCCGGGGCUCAACCUCGGAAUAGCAUUUGAAACUGGCAGACUAGAGUACUGUAGAGGGGGGUAGAAUUUCAGGUGUAGCGGUGAAAUGCGUAGAGAUCUGAAGGAAUACCGGUGGCGAAGGCGGCCCCCUGGACAGAUACUGACACUCAGAUGCGAAAGCGUGGGGAGCAAACAGGAUUAGAUACCCUGGUAGUCCACGCCGUAAACGAUGUCUACUUGGAGGUUGUGGCCUUGAGCCGUGGCUUUCGGAGCUAACGCGUUAAGUAGACCGCCUGGGGAGUACGGUCGCAAGAUUAAAACUCAAAUGAAUUGACGGGGGCCCGCACAAGCGGUGGAGCAUGUGGUUUAAUUCGAUGCAACGCGAAGAACCUUACCUACUCUUGACAUCCAGAGAACUUUCCAGAGAUGGAUUGGUGCCUUCGGGAACUCUGAGACAGGUGCUGCAUGGCUGUCGUCAGCUCGUGUUGUGAAAUGUUGGGUUAAGUCCCGCAACGAGCGCAACCCUUAUCCUUGUUUGCCAGCGAGUAAUGUCGGGAACUCCAGGGAGACUGCCGGUGAUAAACCGGAGGAAGGUGGGGACGACGUCAAGUCAUCAUGGCCCUUACGAGUAGGGCUACACACGUGCUACAAUGGCGCAUACAGAGGGCGGCCAACUUGCGAAAGUGAGCGAAUCCCAAAAAGUGCGUCGUAGUCCGGAUUGGAGUCUGCAACUCGACUCCAUGAAGUCGGAAUCGCUAGUAAUCGUGGAUCAGAAUGCCACGGUGAAUACGUUCCCGGGCCUUGUACACACCGCCCGUCACACCAUGGGAGUGGGCUGCAAAAGAAGUAGGUAGUUUAACCUUCGGGGGGACGCUUACCACUUUGUGGUUCAUGACUGGGGUG